CCCUUAGAUGUUCUGGGCAGCACGCGCGCUACAAUGGUCUUCGCAAACGGAUGCAUUCUCGAAGGAGCCUGCCAAUCUUGGAAUCUAUGCCUUGGUCGGGACAGUUGCUUGCAAUUUUUCGACUCGAACCAGGAAUUCCUUGUAAUCGUGAUUCAUCACAUCACGAUGAAUACGUCCCUGCCCUUUGUACACACCGCCCGUCGCUCCUACCGAUCGAAGAGUUAGGUGAAUUGUUUUGAUCGAUAAGAUUUGACUAUGGUCAACUCUCGUUGUGAAAUUCUGUGAAUCUGACUGUUUAGAGGAAGGAAAAGUCGUAACA
Molecule: ribosomal RNA, 319 nt
Filed under: uncultured eukaryote
Lineage: Eukaryota
Description: partial 18S ribosomal RNA
Rfam family: Eukaryotic small subunit ribosomal RNA
Source: RNAcentral